This 404-nucleotide ribosomal RNA is filed under the name uncultured bacterium. RNAcentral describes it as "partial 16S ribosomal RNA". It matches the Rfam family "Bacterial small subunit ribosomal RNA", at positions 28 to 526 of the family's 1533-position model. The record is from RNAcentral.
GAUGAACGCUGACAGAAUGCUUAACACAUGCAAGUCAACUGUGGCGGACGGGUGAGUAACGCGUAAAGAACUUGCCUCACGGUUUGGGACAACAUUUGGAAACGAAUGCUAAUACCUGAUACUGUGAGGGAGCGUUGCGUCCCAUUAGCGCGUGGGAGAGGUAACGGCUCACCAAGGCGAUGAUGGGUAGCCGGCCUGGGAGGGUGAUCGGCCACAAGGGGACUGGGACACGGGCAGUACUCCUACGGGAGGCAGCAGUGGGGGAUAUUGGACAAUGGACCACAGUCUGAUCGAGCAAUUCUGUGUGCACGAUGAAGUUUUCGGAAUGUAAAGUGCUUUCAGUUGGGAAGCGGUACCAACAGAAGAAGUGACGGCUAAAUACGUGCCAGCCGCCGCGGUAAUUC